This 671-nucleotide small RNA is filed under the name Trichoderma lixii. RNAcentral's name for it is "eukaryotic LSU rRNA". The stretch from base 246 to 399 matches the Rfam family "5.8S ribosomal RNA". Lineage: Eukaryota; Fungi; Ascomycota; Sordariomycetes; Hypocreales; Hypocreaceae. The record is from RNAcentral.
ACGCGGGGCGGCCGGACCGGCGGGGCGCAGCGGUAGGGAUAUUACCGAGUUUACAACUCCCAAACCCAAUGUGAACGUUACCAAACUGUUGCCUCGGCGGGAUCUCUGCCCCGGGUGCGUCGCAGCCCCGGACCAAGGCGCCCGCCGGAGGACCAACCAAAACUCUUAUUGUAUACCCCCUCGCGGGUUUUUUUAUAAUCUGAGCCUUCUCGGCGCCUCUCGUAGGCGUUUCGAAAAUGAAUCAAAACUUUCAACAACGGAUCUCUUGGUUCUGGCAUCGAUGAAGAACGCAGCGAAAUGCGAUAAGUAAUGUGAAUUGCAGAAUUCAGUGAAUCAUCGAAUCUUUGAACGCACAUUGCGCCCGCCAGUAUUCUGGCGGGCAUGCCUGUCCGAGCGUCAUUUCAACCCUCGAACCCCUCCGGGGGGUCGGCGUUGGGGAUCGGCCCUGCCUUGGCGGUGGCCGUCUCCGAAAUACAGUGGCGGUCUCGCCGCAGCCUCUCCUGCGCAGUAGUUUGCACACUCGCAUCGGGAGCGCGGCGCGUCCACAGCCGUUAAACACCCAACUUCUGAAAUGUUGACCUCGGAUCAGGUAGGAAUACCCGCUGAACUUAAGCAUAUCAAUAAGCGGAGGAAAAGAAACCAACAGGGAUUGCCCCGAUAAACGGCGCAUU